AAGCAACGCGAAGAACCUUACCAGGCCUUGACAUGCAGAGAACUUUCCAGAGAUGGAUUGGUGCCUUCGGGAACUCUGACACAGGUGCUGCAUGGCUGUCGUCAGCUCGUGUCGUGAGAUGCUGGGUUAAGUCCGUAACGAGCGCAACCCUUGUCCUUAGUUACCAGCACGUUAUGGUGGGCACUCUAAGGAGACUGCCGGUGACAAACCGGAGGAAGGUGGGGAUGACGUCAAGUCAUCAUGGCCCUUACGGCCUGGGCUACACACGUGCUACAAUGGUCGGUACAAAGGGUUGCCAAGCCGCGAGGUGGAGCUAAUCCCAUAAAACCGAUCGUAGUCCGGAUCGCAGUCUGCAACUCGACUGCGUGAAGUCGGAAUCGCUAGUAAUCGUGAAUCAGAAUGUCACGGUGAAUACGUUCCCGGGCCUU
Molecule: ribosomal RNA, 428 nt
Filed under: uncultured Pseudomonas sp.
Lineage: Bacteria; Pseudomonadati; Pseudomonadota; Gammaproteobacteria; Pseudomonadales; Pseudomonadaceae
Description: bacterial SSU rRNA
Rfam family: Bacterial small subunit ribosomal RNA
Source: RNAcentral